GACGAACGCUGGCGGCGUGCUUAACACAUGCAAGUCGAACGGAAAGGCCCUGCUUGCAGGGUGCUCGAGUGGCGAACGGGUGAGUAACACGUGGGUGAUCUGCCCCUUACUUUGGGAUAAGCCUGGGAAACUGGGUCUAAUACUGGAUAGGACCAUGCUGUAGGUGGUGUGGUGGAAAGAUUAGUUUCGGUAAGGGAUGAGCUCGCGGCCUAUCAGCUUGUUGGUGGGGUAAUGGCCUACCAAGGCGUCGACGGGUAGCCGGCCUGAGAGGGUGGACGGCCACAUUGGGACUGAGAUACGGCCCAGACUCCUACGAGAGGCAGCAGUGGGGAAUAUUGCACAAUGGGCGCAAGCCUGAUGCAGCGACGCCGCGUGGGGGAUGACGGCCUUCGGGUUGUAAACUCCUUUCAGCCAUGACGAAGCCCUUGUGGUGACGGUAGUGGUAGAAGAAGCACCGGCUAACUACGUG
This 469-nucleotide ribosomal RNA is filed under the name uncultured bacterium. RNAcentral describes it as "partial 16S ribosomal RNA". It matches the Rfam family "Bacterial small subunit ribosomal RNA", at positions 28 to 507 of the family's 1533-position model. The record is from RNAcentral.